UGACCCAGGUUCGACUCGAACGAACAACCUUCCGAUCUGGAGUCGGAUGCUCUACCAUUAAGCUACAGGGUC
RNAcentral lists this transfer RNA (72 nucleotides) under Satyrvirus sp. Its description in RNAcentral is "tRNA-Trp". Lineage: Varidnaviria; Bamfordvirae; Nucleocytoviricota; Megaviricetes; Imitervirales; Mimiviridae. The record is from RNAcentral.